RNAcentral lists this ribosomal RNA (1183 nucleotides) under Ostreococcus mediterraneus. RNAcentral describes it as "partial Bacterial large subunit ribosomal RNA". It matches the Rfam family "Bacterial large subunit ribosomal RNA", at positions 1169 to 2333 of the family's 2925-position model. Lineage: Eukaryota; Viridiplantae; Chlorophyta; Mamiellophyceae; Mamiellales; Bathycoccaceae. The record is from RNAcentral.
GAUGUAACGGGGCUCAAACUGGUUACCGAAGCUGCGGCUGUGCACGCAAGUGCACGGGGUAGGGGAGCGUUCUGUAAGCCUGCGAAGGUGUGUCGAGAGGCAUGCUGGAGGUAUCAGAAGUGCGAAUGCUGACAUGAGUAACGACAAUGGGGGUGAAAAACCCCCACGCCGGAAGACCAAGGGUUCCUGCGCAACGCUAAUCGGCGCAGGGUGAGUCGGCCCCUAAGGCGAGACCGAAAGGUGUAGUCGAUGGGAAACGGAUUAAUAUUUCCGUACCUUGGAUAGCUGCGAUGGAGAGACGGAGAAGGCUAGGUGAGCCGGGCGACGGUUGUCCCGGUUUAAGCAUGUAGGCAGUGGGAUUAGGCAAAUCCGGUCCCACAAUGCCGAGACGCGACGACGACUGCCCUUUUAGGGCGGGAAGUCAUUGAUGCCCUGCUUCCAGGAAAAUCUUCUAAGCUUCAGGCUAUUCGAGACCGUACCCCAAACCGACACAGGUGGUCAGGUAGAGAAUACCAAGGCGCUUGAGAGAACUCGGGUAAAGGAACUAGGCAAAAUGGUGCCGUAACUUCGGGAGAAGGCACGCCGGUGGUAUGUGACGCCCUUCGCGGGUUGAGCAGAAGCCGGUCGAAGAUACCAGGCCCCUGCGACUGUUUAUUAAAAACACAGCACUGUGCAAACACGAAAGUGGACGUAUACGGUGUGACGCCUGCCCGGUGCCGGAAGGUUAAUUGAUGGGGUUAGCGCUUGCGCGAAGCUCUUGAUCGAAGCCCCGGUAAACGGCGGCCGUAACAAUAACGGUCCUAAGGUAGCGAAAUUCCUUGUCGGGUAAGUUCCGACCUGCACGAAUGGCGUAACGAUGGGGGCGCUGUCUCUACCCGAGACUCAGUGAAAUUGAAAUCGCCGUGAAGAUGCGGUGUAUCCGCGGCUAGACGGAAAGACCCCGUGAACCUUUACUAUAGCUUCACAGUGAACUUUGAGCAUGUUUGUGUAGGAUAGCUGGGAGGCUUUGAAACCAGGACGCCAGUUCUGGUGGAGCCAACCUUGAAAUACCAGCCUGACCUGUUUGAGGUUCUAACUUCGACCCCUUAUCGGGGUUAAGGACACUGUGUGGUGGGUAGUUUGACUGGGGCGGUCUCCUCCCAAAGCGUAACGGAGGAGCACAAAGGUGGGCUAAGCAUGGUCG